Non-coding RNA from Mustela lutreola (European mink), 417 nucleotides. NCBI's taxonomy places the organism in Eukaryota, Metazoa, Chordata, Mammalia, Carnivora, Mustelidae. The record is from the annotation of a RefSeq genome assembly.
AUGAGGUUCCCUUCUCAGCUCCUAGGGUUGCUGAUGCUCUGGGUCCCAGGAUCCAGUGGGGAGGCCGUGCUGACACAGACCACCCCACUCACCCUGUCUGUCACCUCCGGAGAGCCGGCCUCCAACUCCUGCAGGGCCAGUCAGAGCCUUGUACACAGUAAUGGAAACACCUCUUUAAAUUGGUACCUGCAGAAGCCAGGCCAGUCACCACAGAUCCUGAUCUACUUGGUUUCCAGCCGUGUCUCUGGAAUCCCAGACAGGUUCAGUGGCAGUGGGUCAGGGACAGAUUUCACCCUGACAAUCAGCAGGGUGGAGGCUGGCGAUGUGGGAGUUUAUUACUGUCAGCAAGGUACCAAAUUCCUUCUCACCAUUUCUCAAGGGAAAAAGAUCUCCAGGGUUCAGAAAGUGGCUUCCUAG